Ctenopharyngodon idella (grass carp) is the source of this 1779-nucleotide long non-coding RNA. RefSeq lists it as uncharacterized. The record is from RefSeq and is a predicted model, not a curated record. NCBI's taxonomy places the organism in Eukaryota, Metazoa, Chordata, Actinopteri, Cypriniformes, Xenocyprididae. The transcript is spliced from 2 exons.
ACACAAUAAAAAUACAGAUGAAUUUCAACAAAUUCAGUAUUCUUUGAACCUAAAAGUAUUCCUAACAAAGUUAUACAUAUGUAUGUGUAUUAUAUGUAUCUGUGUUUAUUUAAACUUUAAAAAAUGCUAGAGUCAGACUAAUGCACAAAUACUAAUAAGAUCACGUUGAUAUUUCACAGAGCAUAGUGACUUUGUGUUCAUGGCAUCUUGUUUUAAUCUUUCAGACUUCUGGGAAUGACUGACGCCGGCACUCUGUUGCUGGGUAGAGUGCAUUGUCAUAGUUUCUUAAAGAGAGAAAAAUGCUUCACUUUAGCUGUGCUGCACAAAAGCCAGAAGGGAAAAGUAUGAAAGAAAGGCUUUGAAAGGAAAACAUUCGGUAUUAAGGGAAAAGCUGGACUGACUGUACCCGUGAUAUGUAGUAGUGUAAGGGGAGAGAAAGACAGCUAUGGAUUUUAAUCCAUUCGUCGAUAAAGGUCACUACUCCAAAGGGUUUUAUUUCUCUGCCACACAUCAAAGUGUAAAUCCGCUGAUUGCCACCACUGAAUGGGGAGACAACAAGGCCGGGUUUGUGGGUCGUUUCUAAGGCGCAGUGUGUGAGGAGAGAGCCCAUAAUGUGCAGGUUUUCUAUCAGGGGCCCCCCGAUCAAUGGGCAGCCUGACCUUUGCAUUGUGUUCCCGGCUUUGCCCGUGAUGUCAUGCCAUCUAUCCGCCGCUCUUCUUAAAGGGCCAAGAGAAAAGGAGGCACGGUCCCACACUGUCAUCCCACCACGAGAUUGAAAAGGCAUUAUCUGCAAAUAUAACCACCUGAAACUGGUGAAACACAGAUUAAAUACGUCGGAUUAUCCAACGUGUCUCGAAAAGAUGAGACGGCAUCCUGUUCGUCGAAAUAUUCCACCCUAAUGAUAUGACAAGCAUUGAGAUAUUAAGAUGCAAAGCGAGCGUUUGAAAGCGGCUCGGCACAAGUCGUUAAUCAAAUAAGGCCAAUGGCCUUUUUAAGAUGUUUGUCAGGGAUUGAUCUGCCUUUUGAGUUAAUAUACGCCAGAGCAGAACUUAAGAGGAUAAAAGGGGUGAGCUUCUCAUUGUUCCUCUCUGAAAGCUCUUCUUUGUAGUGGAGAGGGCCGAUGGCAGCUGGUAGGGUCCUCUCCGCUCAUUGAACAUCGAGAACUUUCUCAGAGUGGCCAAGUGCAUUGGAAUGGAAAUCUAAAGAGUGGCGGACAUAAUCGAGGGGGAUCCGGUGCGAAGGAAAGACUCGCCCGAGCCAUCCGCGACAGAUGUUGUAAUUGCCAGCUGAUGGAUGGGCCGUGGAGGAGGUCAUUACGGACGGAGAUGACUUGAAAAAGAAGGGAAGGGCCUGUGCCACGGCUGGACGACCAGCCCUCUGCCAUCUCUAGAAGAUGAGAGAUUGGGACCCUGGUCAUGGGACGGAGAAGAUGCAGGAUAUGGUCAACCCUUAAAUUAGACACGCCCUCCCCCUAUUGUGUACGGAAAACACACUACUUAUGCAGUCUUUUAUGUAGACAACAAUUAUCGCGCUCAAGACUGCAUUGACUGAAAGAGUCAGUUAGUUACCCAUGAAACUUAAAGAGGUGUUUUAGACACUUAAGUCACGCUUAAAACUGUCUGAAUGUCAUUGCAUUGGGUUUCAAACCAAGUGUGAUCUGCAAACAAAUGCUUCAGGAACAUUACUUUUCUGAGCCAUUUUUGCAAUGAGCUUUAAAUCAAAUGUGGCUUUGUUAUUCACUAUUGUUUAACCUAAUAAACUAUAUUUUUGUGAAAUUUU